UACGUAGGGUCCAAGCGUUUAUCCGGAAUCACUGGGCGUAAAGCGUGCGUAGGCGGGAGUUUUAGUGCAAUGCGAAAUCUUGUGGCUCAACCAUAUAGACUGUAUUGCAUACUGGACACCUAGAGGACGGCAGAGGCAAGUGGAAUUACUGGUGUAGCAGUGAAAUGCGUAGAUAUCAGUAGGAACACCAAUGGCGAAGGCAGCUUGCUGGGCCGACCCUGACGCUAAGGCACGAAAGCGUGGGGAGCAAACAGG
RNAcentral lists this ribosomal RNA (255 nucleotides) under uncultured bacterium. RNAcentral describes it as "partial 16S ribosomal RNA". It matches the Rfam family "Bacterial small subunit ribosomal RNA", at positions 524 to 776 of the family's 1533-position model. The record is from RNAcentral.